This 484-nucleotide ribosomal RNA is filed under the name uncultured bacterium. Its description in RNAcentral is "bacterial SSU rRNA". It matches the Rfam family "Bacterial small subunit ribosomal RNA", at positions 28 to 509 of the family's 1533-position model. The record is from RNAcentral.
GAUGAACGCUAGCGGCAGGCCUAACACAUGCAAGUCGAGGGGCAGCACAGGUAGCAAUACUGGGUGGCGACCGGCGGAUGGGUGCGUAACGCGUAUGCAACCUACCAUUGAUUGGGGCAUAGCCCGAAGAAAUUCGGAUUAAUACUCCAUAAUAUUCAUCAAAGGCAUCUUUUAUGAAUUAAAGCUUUUGCGAUCAAUGAUGGGCAUGCGUGACAUUAGUUAGUUGGUGAGGUAACGGCUCACCAAACGAUGAUGUCUAGGGGUUCUGAGAGGAUUAUCCCCCACACUGGUACUGAGACACGGACCAGACUCCUACGGGAGGCAGCAGUGAGGAAUAUUGGUCAAUGGACGCAAGUCUGAACCAGCCAUGCCGCGUGCAGGAUGACGGCCCUAUGGGUUGUAAACUGCUUUUCCACGGGAAGAACCCUCCGACGUGUCGGAGACUGACGGUACCGUGGGAAUAAGCAUCGGCUAACUCCGUGCC